Molecule: ribosomal RNA, 459 nt
Filed under: uncultured bacterium
Lineage: Bacteria
Description: partial 16S ribosomal RNA
Rfam family: Bacterial small subunit ribosomal RNA
Source: RNAcentral
CCUACGGGAGGCAGCAGUGAGGAAUAUUGGUCAAUGGCCGAGAGGCUGAACCAGCCAAGUCGCGUGAGGGAAGAAUGUCCUAUGGAUUGUAAACCUCUUUUGUCAGGGAGCAAAGGCACCCACGUGUGGGUGGAGGGGAGUACCUGAAGAAAAAGCAUCGGCUAACCUCGUGCCAGAAGCCGCGGUAAUACGGAGGAUGCGAGCGUUAUCCGGAUUUAUUGGGUUUAAAGGGUGCGUAGGCGGGUUAUCAAGGCAGCGGUAAAAUGGUGGAGCUCAACUCCAUCCAGCCGUUGAAACUGGUGAUCUUGAGUGGGCGAGAAGUAUGCGGAAUGCGUGGUGUAGCGGUGAAAUGCAUAGAUAUCACGCAGAACUCCGAUUGCGAAGGCAGCAUACCGGCGCCCAACUGACGCUGAAGCACGAAAGCGUGGGUAUCGAACAGGAUUAGAUACCCUUGUAGUC